AUGGGAAAUUUGCGGCAGCUCCAGUACCUAGACCUGAGCAAUAAUCAGCUCGCUGGCCCCCUACCAGUUUCACUAUUUGACUUGAAGAUGCUUAAAGAACUGGUGCUUGACAAAAACUGCCUUUCCGGACAACUGAGCCCUGCCAUUGGUCAGCUUCAGCACCUCACUAAGCUAUCCAUGUCCAUGAAUUCCAUCUCUGGAAGCCUUCCUCCAGAGCUGGGAACCUUGCAGAACCUGGAGUUUCUGAACCUUAACAGGAACACAUUCAGUGGGUCGUUACCGGCAGCUUUCAGUAAUCUGACCCGGCUCUCAUACCUUGCCGCAAGCAAUAACAGCCUCACUGGAUCAAUAUUUCCUGGAAUAGGCACAUUGGUGAACCUCAGGAGACUUGUUUUGUCGUCAAACGGUUUGACUGGGCCAAUUCCUGAGGAGAUUGGUCAACUAGAAAACCUGGAAGUUAUAAAUUUAAUGAACAAUGGUUUCACUGAAAGCAUUCCAGAAGAGAUUGGUCACCUGAAGCGGCUAAAAGUGCUUAAACUCUCCAACUGCAAGUUCAAUGGUGCCAUACCUCGGUCAAUCGGUGGUCUUGAAAGCUUGAUGACUCUUGAUAUAUCAGGGAACAACUUCACUGCUGAACUCCCAACAUCUGUCGGUGAACUGAGCAAUCUAAUUAAAUUGUUAGCAGUUCGUGCAGGGCUCACUGGGGCCAUACCGAAAGAACUUGGUAACUGCAAGAAGAUUACUGUUAUAGACCUGUCCUUCAAUCAUUUUACUGGCUCUAUCCCUGAAGAACUUGCAGAGUUAGAAGCUAUUAUCAGCUUUAAAGCGGAAGGUAACAGACUGUCGGGUCACAUUCCAGAUUGGCUUCAAAACUGGGGGAAUAUUAAGUCCAUAUCGUUGGUGAACAACAUGUUCAGUGGGCCUCUGCCAUUGCUGCCUUUGCAGCAUUUGGUUGAAUUCUCUGCCGGAAAGAACCUGCUCUCAGGCCCUAUCCCUGCCGGGGUGUGUCAAGCUAUCUCUCUGCGGUCACUCAACUUGUAUAGUAACAAUCUGACAGGGAGUAUCAAGGAGACAUUCAAAGGAUGCAGGAACCUCACUAUACUGAGUUUGCAAGUUAACCAGCUCUGUAGUGAGAUACCAGAAUACUUGGCUGAGCUACCGCUAGUAAGCCUGGAUCUCACCCAGAACAAUUUCACGGGGUCUCUGCCUGACAAGUUCUGGGAGUCAUCAACUGUUCAGGAACUCUAUCUCAGUGACAAUAACCUCACCGGCAUGAUCCCUGAGAGCAUUGCCGAACUUUCCCACUUGAAGAUUCUGCGGAUUGACAAUAACUACUUGGAAGGACCAAUUCCACGGUCGGUCGGCACUCUAAAGAGUCUGAUAACAUUGUCUCUGCGUUGCAAUAUGUUGUCUGGGAACAUCCCGGUAGAGCUCUUCAACUGCACAAACCUCGUCACGCUAGACCUGAGCUAUAACAGUCUGACCGGACACAUCCCAAGGGAGAUAUCACGCUUGACACUGCUUAAUAGUUUGGCUUUGUCUAAUAAUCAGCUGUCAGGCACUAUCCCUUCCGAGAUCUGUGUGGGAUUCUCGCACGCGUCUCACGUUGAUUUGAGAUUUUAUCAGCACCAACGACUUCUUGACCUGUCAUACAACCAAUUGACUGGUCAGAUCCCAACAACGAUCAAGGAUUGUGCUGUAGUGGCGGAACUAUACCUGCAAGGCAACUUGUUGAAUGGAACUAUUCCUGCAGAGCUUGGCGAGCUGAUGGGUCUUGCAACCAUUGACCUGUCUUUCAAUGCAUUAGUAGGACAUAUGCUUCCUUGGUCUGCGCCAUCUGUACAACUUCAGGGCCUUUCUCUGUCUAAUAACCGCCUGAAUGGAUCCAUUCCUGCUGAGAUAGGCCACAUUCUUCCUGCAAUUUAUAAGCUGAACUUGUCGGGUAACACGCUUACUGGCAAUCUACCCCAGUCUUUGCUCUGCAACCAUCACCUAAGCCGUCUGGAUGUCAGUAACAACAACCUCUCUGGAGAAAUCCUAUUCUCCUGUCCCGAUGGGGAUGAAGGAUCCGCGAGUGCCCUGAACACGUUCAAUGCAAGCAAUAACCAUUUCUCAGGGAGCCUCGAUGUGUCUAUUUCCAACUUCACAGGGCUGACCUCUCUUGAUAUCCACAGCAAUAGCCUCAAUGGGAGCCUGCCUUCAGCUGUCUGCAAUGUUACCACUUUGAACUAUCUUGACUUAUCAAGCAACGAUUUCAGUGGCACCAUCCCAUGUGGUAUAUGUGAUAUGUUUAACCUUGUGUUUGCCAACUUCUCUGGUAACCACAUCGUUGGCACGUACAACUUAGCGGACUGUGCUGCUAAUAACAUCAAUCACAAGGCGGCUCAUCCAUCUUAUCAAGUUUCACUAGCGGCAAUCGUCUGUGGCAUUACGAUCAUUAUCAUUCUAUUGGUUCUUCUGGGGGUUUACUUGAGACGGAGACUAUUGAAGAGAAGGUCCUCGUGGGCUCUUGUACCUGCGAGCAAGACCAUGGUGACCUCCGAGGAAACCUUAAGGAGCAAACUCCUAGGGAAGAAGUCACGGGAACCUCUGAGUAUCAACCUCGCGACAUUUGAGCACUCACUGAUGAGGGUCGCCGCAGAUGAUAUCUUGAAAGCCACUGAGAAUUUCAGUAAUCUACACAUCAUAGGCGACGGUGGCUUUGGCACUGUCUACAGGGCAGCACUCUUCGGAGGCCGGCAAGUUGCUGUCAAGAGGCUGCACGGUGGCCACCAGCUCCAGGACAACCGUGAAUUCCAAGCUGAGAUAGAGACCAUUGGGAAGGUGAAACACCCAAACCUUGUUCCCCUCCUUGGCUACUGCGCUUCCGGCGAUGAGCGGUUCCUGAUCUACGAGUACAUGGAGCACGGGUGCCUCGAGGCAUGGCUGAGGAAGAACCGGACUGACGCAGCCUACUCGCUGGGAUGGCCAGACCGUCUUAAGAUAUGCCUCGGCUCUGCCAAGGGCCUGGCGUUCCUGCACCACGGCUUCGUGCCCCAUAUCAUCCACCGGGACAUGAAAUCGAGCAACAUCCUGCUGGACUGGGACCUGGAGCCGAGGGUCUCCGACUUCGGCCUCGCGAGGAUCAUCAGCGCGUGCGAGACCCAUGUCAGCACCAACCUCGCCGGCACGCUCGGCUACAUCCCCCCGGAGUACGGGCUGUCGAUGCGAUGCACCGCAAGGGGCGACGUCUACAGCUUCGGCGUCGUCAUGCUAGAGCUGCUGACCGGGCAGGAGCCGACGGGGCAGGAGGUGGAUGAAGGCGGCGGAAGCCUCAUCGGCUGGGUGCAGUGGAUGGUGGCGCGCCGCCGCGAGAAGGAGGUGUUCGAUCCCUGCCUCCUGCCGGCUUCGGGCGCGUGCAGGCAGCAGAUGGCGCGCGUGCUCGCCAUCGCCCGGGGCUGCACCGCUGACGACCCGUGGGCGAGGCCGACCAUGCUGGAGGUGGUGAAGGGCCUGAAAGCGACACAGAUGAUGGAAAGCACGCCUCCGGCGACGACGACACUCUCCAGAGCGGGCCUCCGGUGGUGA
RNAcentral lists this ribosomal RNA (3567 nucleotides) under Triticum aestivum (bread wheat). Its description in RNAcentral is "partial small subunit ribosomal RNA". The record is from RNAcentral. Lineage: Eukaryota; Viridiplantae; Streptophyta; Magnoliopsida; Poales; Poaceae.